AGCUUGCUCUCGGGUGACGAGCGGCGGACGGGUGAGUAAUGUCUGGGAAACUGCCUGAUGGAGGGGGAUAACUACUGGAAACGGUAGCUAAUACCGCAUAACGUCGCAAGACCAAAGUGGGGGACCUUCGGGCCUCAUGCCAUCAGAUGUGCCCAGAUGGGAUUAGCUAGUAGGUGGGGUAACGGCUCACCUAGGCGACGAUCCCUAGCUGGUCUGAGAGGAUGACCAGCCACACUGGAACUGAGACACGGUCCAGACUCCUACGGGAGGCAGCAGUGGGGAAUAUUGCACAAUGGGCGCAAGCCUGAUGCAGCCAUGCCGCGUGUGUGAAGAAGGCCUUCGGGUUGUAAAGCACUUUCAGCGGGGAGGAAGGCGGUGAGGUUAAUAACCUCGUCGAUUGACGUUACCCGCAGAAGAAGCACCGGCUAACUCCGUGCCAGCAGCCGC
Molecule: ribosomal RNA, 447 nt
Filed under: Escherichia coli
Lineage: Bacteria; Pseudomonadati; Pseudomonadota; Gammaproteobacteria; Enterobacterales; Enterobacteriaceae
Description: bacterial SSU rRNA
Rfam family: Bacterial small subunit ribosomal RNA
Source: RNAcentral